RNAcentral lists this ribosomal RNA (478 nucleotides) under uncultured Bacteroidota bacterium. RNAcentral describes it as "bacterial SSU rRNA". It matches the Rfam family "Bacterial small subunit ribosomal RNA", at positions 12 to 485 of the family's 1533-position model. The record is from RNAcentral. Lineage: Bacteria; Pseudomonadati; Bacteroidota.
UUUAGUCCUGGCUCAGGAUGAACGCUAGCGGCAGGCCUAACACAUGCAAGUCGAGGGGUAACAGAGAGUGCUUGCACUUUGCUGACGACCGGCGCACGGGUGCGUAACGCGUAUAGAAUCUACCUUGUACUGAGGGAUAGCCCAGAGAAAUUUGGAUUAAUACCUCAUGGUAUGUAUAGAUGGCAUCAUCCAUACAUUAAAGGUUACGGUAUAAGAUGACUAUGCGUCCUAUUAGCUAGAUGGUGUGGUAACGGCACACCAUGGCAACGAUAGGUAGGGGCCCUGAGAGGGGGAUCCCCCACACUGGUACUGAGACACGGACCAGACUCCUACGGGAGGCAGCAGUGAGGAAUAUUGGACAAUGGGGGCAACCCUGAUCCAGCCAUGCCGCGUGCAGGAAGACUGCCCUAUGGGUUGUAAACUGCUUUUAUACAGGAAGAAACACUCCCUCGUGAGGGAGCUUGACGGUACUGUAAGA